RNAcentral lists this non-coding RNA (122 nucleotides) under Dyella thiooxydans. Its description in RNAcentral is "SAH sequence". It matches the Rfam family "SAH (S-adenosyl-L-homocysteine) riboswitch aptamer". Lineage: Bacteria; Pseudomonadati; Pseudomonadota; Gammaproteobacteria; Lysobacterales; Rhodanobacteraceae. The record is from Rfam by way of RNAcentral.
CCCGUCGAGGGGCGCUGCGACCACAGGCAGGCGGAAUACCGCCAUUCCGUCCGGUUAUCCGAACCGGGAAGCACCGGUGGCCAGGCUCGACGCGGCAGGUUCGAAAACGGCGCCCGGUUGCU